This 492-nucleotide ribosomal RNA is filed under the name uncultured bacterium. RNAcentral describes it as "partial 16S ribosomal RNA". It matches the Rfam family "Bacterial small subunit ribosomal RNA", at positions 30 to 507 of the family's 1533-position model. The record is from RNAcentral.
AUUGAACGCUGGCGGCAUGCUUUACACAUGCAAGUCGAACGGUAACAGGCCUUCGGGUGCUGACGAGUGGCGAACGGGUGAGUAAUGCAUCGGAACGUGCCCAGAGGUGGGGGAUAACGCAGCGAAGGCUGUGCUAAUACCGCAUGUGAUCUGAGGAUGAAAGCGGGGGACCAGGCAGCAAUGUUUGGCCUCGCGCCUUUGGAGCGGCCGAUGUCAGAUUAGGUAGUUGGUGGGGUAAAGGCCUACCAAGCCGACGAUCUGUAGCUGGUCUGAGAGGACGACCAGCCACACUGGGACUGAGACACGGCCCAGACUCCUACGGGAGGCAGCAGUGGGGAAUUUUGGACAAAGGGCGCAAGCCUGAUCCAGCAAUGCCGCGUGCGGGAAGAAGGCCUUCGGGUUGUAAACCGCUUUUGUACGGAACGAAAAGGCUCUGGCUAAUACCUGGGGCUGAUGACGGUACCGUAAGAAUAAGCACCGGCUAACUACGUG